Molecule: ribosomal RNA, 373 nt
Filed under: Macaca mulatta (Rhesus monkey)
Lineage: Eukaryota; Metazoa; Chordata; Mammalia; Primates; Cercopithecidae
Description: partial 12S ribosomal RNA
Rfam family: Bacterial small subunit ribosomal RNA
Source: RNAcentral
CCUCAGUAGUUAGAUAACAAAACUACUCGCCAGAAUACUACAAGCAACAGCUUGAAACUCAAAGGACUUGACGGUGCUUUACAUCCCCCUAGAGGAGCCUGUUCCAUAAUCGAUAAACCCCGAUCCACCCUACCCUCUCUUGCUCAGCCUAUAUACCGCCAUCUUCAGCAAACCCUAAUGAGGGCCACAAAGUGAGCGCAAACGCCCCCACCGCGAAUACGUUAGGUCAAGGUGUAGCCCAUGAGACGGUAAAAAAUGGGCUACAUUUUCUAUUUCAGAAAACCCACGAAAACCCUUAUGAAACUUAAGGGUCCAAGGAGGAUUUAGCAGUAAAUUAAGAAUAGAGUGCUUAAUUGAACCAGGCCAUAAAGCG